RNAcentral lists this long non-coding RNA (498 nucleotides) under Anser brachyrhynchus (Pink-footed goose). RNAcentral's name for it is "lncRNA (ENSABRG00000017629.1)". Lineage: Eukaryota; Metazoa; Chordata; Aves; Anseriformes; Anatidae. The record is from RNAcentral.
UGGGCAUCGCCUCGGCCAGGCUGGCGGAGCUGACGGCGGCCCUGGAGCGGCUGCGGGAGGAAGGUGGGGAGAAGGAGCGGGCGGUGGCGGCGCUGACGCUGCAGCUGCAGAAGAUGGAGGCCUCGCGUGCCCAGGAGCCAUCAGUGGAAGAGGUGCAGGGGCUGCGCGCAGAGGUGGAGCUGCUCCACCAGACGCUGCAGGACGUCACCCAGGUGCCCCCAGCCCUCCCCUGCGCCCCCACUGCUGCCACCCCCUCCGUGCCUCAGUUUCCCCUCCCGUGGUGGUGCCACAGCAGGGUGCUCACAGUCCCUCACAGGCGGUGCUGGCCGAUGACCCCGGGUCCCCGACGGAGCCUCCCAGGCUCCCCUGCCGCAGCCUCUCACCCGCUGCGGCCGCGGCCACGCUGGGGGCUGUGCACGGAGCCCUGCGGCGCCGGCACUUCCAGCUGCAGGUGAGCGAGGAGGAGGAGGAGGAAGAUGGACGUGGGGGAAGACGGAU